UUCCUACGGGAGGCUGCAGUGGGGAAUAUUGGACAAUGGGCGCAAGCCUGAUCCAGCCAUGCCGCGUGAGUGAUGAAGGCCUUAGGGUUGUAAAGCUCUUUCGCCGACGAAGAUAAUGACGGUAGUCGGAGAAGAAGCCCCGGCUAACUUCGUGCCAGCAGCCGCGGUAAUACGAAGGGGGCUAGCGUUGUUCGGAAUCACUGGGCGUAAAGCGCACGUAGGCGGACAUUUAAGUCAGGGGUGAAAGCCUGUAGCUCAACUCCAGAACUGCCCUUGAUACUGGGUGUCUCGAGUCCGGAAGAGGUAAGUGGAACUGCGAGUGUAGAGGUGAAAUUCGUAGAUAUUCGCAAGAACACCAGUGGCGAAGGCGGCUUACUGGUCCGGUACUGACGCUGAGGUGCGAAAGCGUGGGGAGCAAACAGGAUUAGAUACCCCUGUAGUC
This 442-nucleotide ribosomal RNA is filed under the name uncultured Ancylobacter sp. RNAcentral's name for it is "bacterial SSU rRNA". It matches the Rfam family "Bacterial small subunit ribosomal RNA", at positions 336 to 795 of the family's 1533-position model. Lineage: Bacteria; Pseudomonadati; Pseudomonadota; Alphaproteobacteria; Hyphomicrobiales; Xanthobacteraceae. The record is from RNAcentral.